UACAGAGGAGCCAAGCGUUAUCCGGAAUGAUUGGGCGUAAAGCGUCCGCAGGUGGCAGUUCAAGUCUGCUGUCAAAGACCGGGGCUUAACUUCGGAAAGGCAGUGGAAACUGAACAGCUAGAGUAUGGUAGGGGCAGAGGGGAUUCCUGGUGUAGCGGUGAAAUGCGUAGAGAUUAGGAAGAACAUCGGUGGCGAAGGCGCUCUGCUGGACCAUAACUGACACUCAGGGACGAAAGCUAGGGGAGCGAAUGGG
Molecule: ribosomal RNA, 253 nt
Filed under: uncultured bacterium
Lineage: Bacteria
Description: partial 16S ribosomal RNA
Rfam family: Bacterial small subunit ribosomal RNA
Source: RNAcentral